AUGAAUAUUAUACCAUGUUCCAUUAAAACACUCAAGGGGUUAUACGAUAUAUCGGGUGUAGAAGUAGGCCAACACUUCUAUUGGCAAAUAGGAGGUUUCCAAAUUCAUGCCCAAGUACUCGUCACUUCUUGGGUCGUAAUUACUAUCUUGCUAGGUUCAGUUAUCAUAGUUGUUCAGAAUCCACAAACCAUCCCGACCGACGGUCAGAAUUUCUUAGAAUAUGUCCUUGAGUUUAUUUGAGACUUGAGCAAAACUCAGAUUGGAGAAGAAUAUGGUCACUGGGUUCCCUUUAUUGGAACUAUGUUCCUUUUUCUUUUUGUUUCGAAUUGGUCGGGUGCUCUUUUACCUGGUAAAAUUAUACAGUUACCCCAUGGUGAAUUAGCAGCGCCCACGAAUGAUAUAAAUACUACUGUUGCUUUAGCUUUACUCACGUCAGCGGCAUAUUUUUAUGCGGGUCUUAGCAAAAAAGGAUUGGAGUUGGUUUAAUACUACAUUUUUCUUUAUCUAGUUUGA
RNAcentral lists this ribosomal RNA (513 nucleotides) under Triticum aestivum (bread wheat). RNAcentral describes it as "partial small subunit ribosomal RNA". The record is from RNAcentral. Lineage: Eukaryota; Viridiplantae; Streptophyta; Magnoliopsida; Poales; Poaceae.